AUAACUCUGGGAUGUUCGCCAGUACGUCUAUUCCCCUGCCGAUACUUAAACUUACGGAUGCGUUCUGUGUAUUUUGAGUGUAUGCCCACCCCGAGUGGGAAACCCAUUAAGUACGCGUCGUGUCCACCUUGAACUCAUCGGGUUCAGGGUAACGACCAUGCAGCGGCAUCUUCGGAGUUCUU
RNAcentral lists this non-coding RNA (182 nucleotides) under Acinetobacter sp. WCHAc060025. RNAcentral describes it as "6S RNA". It matches the Rfam family "6S / SsrS RNA". From Rfam's summary of the family: E. coli 6S RNA was the first non coding RNA to be sequenced, but its function was unknown until recently. It consists of 184 nucleotides that fold into an extended hairpin structure with a large single-stranded internal bulge. The 6S RNA specifically associates with RNA polymerase holoenzyme containing the sigma70 specificity factor. The record is from RNAcentral. Lineage: Bacteria; Pseudomonadati; Pseudomonadota; Gammaproteobacteria; Moraxellales; Moraxellaceae.